AACGAACGCUGGCGGCAGGCCUAAUACAUGCAAGUCGAGGGGCAGCGCGGUAGCAAUACUGGCGGCGACCGGCGCACGGGUGCGUAACACGUAUGCAACCUACCUUCAACUGGAGGAUAGCCCGGGGAAACUCGGAUUAAUACUCCAUAACACAGGGAUCCCGCAUGGGAAUAUUGUUAAAGCUACGGCGGUUGAAGAUGGGCAUGCGUUCGAUUAGCUAGUUGGUGUAGGUAACGGCUCACCAAGGCUACGAUCGAUAGGGGGUCUGAGAGGAUGAUCCCCCACACUGGUACUGAGAUACGGACCAGACUCCUACGGGA
This 320-nucleotide ribosomal RNA is filed under the name uncultured bacterium. RNAcentral's name for it is "bacterial SSU rRNA". It matches the Rfam family "Bacterial small subunit ribosomal RNA", at positions 29 to 346 of the family's 1533-position model. The record is from RNAcentral.